GUCAAACUAAGGAUGUUACUGUUUAUCGCUUAAUCUGCAAAGAGACGGUUGAAGAAAAAAUUCUGCAGAGAGCCAGUCAGAAAAACACCGUGCAGCAGCUUGUCAUGACAGGUGGACAUGUCCAGGGUGACCUUUUGGCUCCGGAAGAUGUUGUUUCUUUGUUGAUUGAUGAUGCACAAUUGGAGCAGAAAAUGAAGGAAAUUCCUCUUCAGGCUAAAGAGAGACAAAAGAGGAAAGGUGGCACAAAAGGCAUUCGUAUUGGUGCAGAUGGUGAUGCAUCAUUAGAAGAUCUU
This 293-nucleotide unclassified non-coding RNA is filed under the name Hevea brasiliensis (rubber tree). The record is from RNAcentral. Lineage: Eukaryota; Viridiplantae; Streptophyta; Magnoliopsida; Malpighiales; Euphorbiaceae.